AAAAUGUUAUAGAUUGUUUAAAAAAUUUUGAAAAACAAAUUUAAUUGGCUUUAUGCUGUUUUAUUUGGGCUUAUUGUUUGAAAAAUUGACUUAUUUUAUGAUGACCUGUCAUAUCAAGUGUUUUAAACCUUUGAUAUUUGACAAACUUUCCAAAAUCAAAUUACAAGUUGUGUAUUUUUCUGACCUAAUUAAUCCUUUAAGAUAUUAGUUUCCCUCAAGUCCAAAAAUGAAAUAAUUUGACUUAUUUGGUAUAAAAAUUAUACAGGAAGCAUUGUCAAAUAUAAAAUGGUGUUUGGUUUUAUUUGGGCUGUAUUUGUAUAAAAUUGUUAUUGGUAUGUGCACCAAAAUUAUGGGAAACUCCUAUAAUUCUGAUAUGACCUGGUGUACAUUAUCAGUAAUAAUUAUGAUUGUUAUAUUAAAUUAUUGUGUGCCAUGGUGGUAACAAAUUUUCUUGUCAAUUGUAUCUUCGCCUAUGGCUGACCUAAAACUUUUUGUCACCCAUGGACAAUUUUUGUCUUGUUUUAGUCCUCUUUAGAAGAUGGUUUUAUAAUCAGCUAUAAAACUCUAACAGGUAUUCUUGAAUGCAGGUUUCUAAUAACUCUGGAGAUUGUGACAUCACAAUGAAGGAAAAGCUUUCAGGACUCAUGGAGACCUGAAAUGUUCAUGAAUAGCAAGCAGAACAGGAAUUAACUGCAUGAACUGAACUAACAGAAGACUGAAGACACGAUAAAUUGGUCAUUUUACCAAGGCUUUUACUUGAAUGGUGUGCUCUUCUUUGAGGAAUCAAACUUGACUUAUGGAGCCAAUAAAAGCCCCUUGGGAGAACUGGCCUCAUACCUUAUCUACACAGUCCCUGUACAGGGUUCCUGACCUGUGGUAAGUAAAGCAUGUCACUUUCUAACAGUUCCAGGAGCCCCAAGUUUAUCUUGGAACCUCAAGAGGAGAGGAAUUCACCCAACUCAUAGGUAUUUGAUGGUACAAAUCCAUGGCUAGGCUAAGCUUUCCAAAAGUCUUAUCCGAAAUUCCUUCUAUGGAACAAAGUUCUGAUAGGGCCAGGGGACAGAGAAAUUCUAGGCAGAAAAGGAUAGGUCUCUGACAAAACCCCACCUUCAAGCUGAAAAGCCUUAAACCAUGGCCCAAAGUGACAACUUAUAUCCCUGUUUUCCUGCUUGAAAGUUGCCUUUUUCUAAACCACUCAUGGCCCCAUCCUGUCCCAUCCUGUGCCUGUGAAGAUCUCAGACUGAGCUGGCAGAGGCAAGAAGCAGCUGGAUGUUGGGGACUACAGCCGGACAUCAGAGAGAAGCAGCUUGACUGCAGAGGGACAGCUUGAUGGUGUAACCUUGGAGAAGAAUCCGGCUGGAUACAGCCUAACUUUGAGGAAGAUUACCUACCCACCCCAUCCUUUUUCAGCUCCCUUCCUGCUAAGAGCCACUUUCAUCAGCAACAAAAUCCCCCACAUUUACCAUCCUUUGAUUGGUUCAUGUGACCUCACCUUUCCUGGACACCCGACAAGAGCUUGGGAGCCAGGAGAGCAGAUACAAAAGGCUGUCACACUGGCCUUCUGCUCUUGCUGUUGGAGGGCAGCUGCCUCAUGCAAAAAGGCAGAGGGCUCACUGAGCUGUUGACACUUAAGCCAUCCAUGGAAGGCAGAGUUAAAAGAGCACUGUAACAUGACUUCUGGGGCUAUGGGAGUUGCAGGCACCUCCACCUAGAUGCUGCUGUGGGGCCCGCACAGAGUUUGCUCCUGCCAGCACCCAAAAGCACUCACUCUGGCUCCUGCACCCAUUCACCUGCAUGCUUCCUUCCAUGAGCAGGGGACUGCAGCAGGUCCAAGUGAGUGAAGUUUGAUCCUGCAGCACUGAAGUGCUGAUUCCAGCACUCAUGCACUCCAGUUCCUGCCUCAUUUGCUUGCAUGCUCUCUCCUGCAAGGAGGUGAGAGUGGCAGGCUGAAUAAAUGAGGCCCUGUCACAAGUCCCACAGAAGGGUCAGGGAAACAUCCUGCUUCGCUUCCAUCAAAGAGAAUUUAAAAGCUUAUGCAAAAAAAUUAUUACUAUUACUAUGACUGUGCUGUAUACAAUAAUCAGGUCAAGUAUAAUAAAGCAAAUCAGCUCUGCCAUGAUUUGUCUUUAGUAAAAAUGGUAAAUGGGAGAGAGAAGAAUUGUUUCAAAAAAUGAUAGUACACCUGUUGUUAGAUUCUAGUCUUGCCUAAUGUUUUUCCAUUUUUAUUAAUUUUUACAGUUUGGACUGAAUUCUAAUUUUUCUUGGCUACAGGUCUUCAAAAGAUUGUCUUCAGUUUUUUUCUUCUUCUUCUUUCCACCAUUUUUCCUAAUUUGGAGUCACCGAAAACUCAUCUGUGCUUUUAUAAAGCCCUGUGAACUGCAGCUAUAAGAUUUAAACUUCAGAAGAAAAUAUUAGCAACCUUUUCACAUACGUGAGCCUCUUUCAUACCUGCCUACUGAUAUAUGGACUUCCGAGUAAUGUGGCCCAUAUUGAUUUUCCAGGAUUGUUCUUUUGUUUAUUUUUGUUUUUCUCCCUUCCUUUCCCUAUUUUCUCUUCAUAGGACAUGAAACUUCACAACCUGCUAAAAAUGAACUUUCCUAAUAACUCAGGAAUUAUCUUUCUAGGAAUAAACAAUCCUAGCCAUGAGAUAUCAGAUGAAACUUGAGACCAAAGACUGACUUUCUUCUAAAAUGCUUUCUCAAAAAGAUUUUUAAGAAGAAAUGGGCGGAAAUGUGAAAGGAAAAUAAACCUUGGGGCCCUGAAAUCACUAAGGUAAAGGGGAAAGUCAAGCUGGGAACUGCUUAGGGCAAACCUGCCUCCCGUUCUAUUCACAGUCACCCCUCUGCUCACAGAGAUAAAUGCAUAUCUGAUUGCCUCCUUUGGAAAGGCUAAUCAGAAACUCUGAAGAAAGCAACCAUUUUUCUCUUAUCUACCUAUGACCUGGAAGCCCCUCCCCACUUAGAGUUGUCCCGGCCUUUUCCGGACGGAACCACUGUUCAUCUUACAUAUGUUGAUUGAUGUCUCAUGUCUCCCUAAAAUGUAUAAAACCAAGCUGUGCUCUGACCACUUUGGGCACCUGUCUUCAGAACCUCCUGAGGCUGUGUCACAGGUGUACAUCCCCAACCUUGGCAAAAUAAACUUUCUAAAUAAACUGAGACCUGUCUCCGAUUUUGCGGGUUCAGAAGGCUAUACUGAAUUGUCCCCUGUGUGAAGCCCAGCAGGAGCCUUUCACAGCAGGUUCUUUUCACUUGAACCUUUGUGCAUCAGCACCUAACUCUUUCGCAAGAUAAGGGGUCCUACGGAAUACCAGCAGACCCACCAGAGGGUUACAAAUUCCUGAUACCUAGUACAACCUGGGAAAGAGAGCAAAAGCCCUUUAUUCCUGAUGUAGCUUCCCCAAUCUCUAGCCAAUUUGCACCAAAAGCCCAAGAAACUCCUAACUACAAAUUCCUUCCAGGGGUGGGGUGUGUGGGAGGGUGGGCAGGGACUUCUCUGGGGUCCUGCAUGCACAGCUAGGCUCAAGGUUCAGCUUAUAGUAACCUUUUCCUCAUUUU
Molecule: long non-coding RNA, 3554 nt
Filed under: Homo sapiens (human)
Lineage: Eukaryota; Metazoa; Chordata; Mammalia; Primates; Hominidae
Description: HSALNT0240614
Source: RNAcentral